RNAcentral lists this long non-coding RNA (282 nucleotides) under Locusta migratoria (migratory locust). Its description in RNAcentral is "partial Lnc41159". The record is from RNAcentral. Lineage: Eukaryota; Metazoa; Arthropoda; Insecta; Orthoptera; Acrididae.
UAAAAAACAGAAGGCAUUUCCCAUCCUCCCAACAGUCCCUAAAGCACAAUUUCCUGUGUCCUUUUUAUUGGUAUUGGCCACAUAAUAUUAAACAUACGUUUUGUAUUCUAUNNNNNNNNNCUAUUAUGGUUUAAUGCCAUUGUUUCUGUAUCACUUAAUUUUGCACUUUGAUGCAUUAUACAUCUUCAUUUGGCAGCAUGUAGUUCAUGUGUAAUAUUAGUUCAAUCUUUUAAGUUUUUCACUGUAGUUCUGUGACUGAACUGACAGUGGACUGUAUUUUAA